Non-coding RNA from Danio rerio (zebrafish), 4696 nucleotides. The record is from RefSeq and is a predicted model, not a curated record. Lineage: Eukaryota; Metazoa; Chordata; Actinopteri; Cypriniformes; Danionidae.
UUAAUCACUCAUGUGGCCACAGCAGAGAGACUACCAAGCUCUUCUCGAAUUAGACUCAGGGUGAGAGACAGAGACUUUAUUGGACUUCUAAACGCAGACUGUUUCCACUUUACACAAACGGACACAAGGGCACGAUCUGGACGACCACAAGUGAUAAAACCCUCCUGAGACGUUAACACACAGGCCUUUGAUACUGGAGUGCUGGUUCUCUACAGCCUUGAGCAUGUGUGGGCAACCUUCCCGAGCAUUAUGAUAUCGCACUACCCUCUGGCAUCACUGCUCCCCUGGCCACCCGUCCCACAGCUCCUGGAUAUAGAUGGGGAUGGAGGGGUGGCCCUGCAGAGGUACCAGCCACGGUCCCCGGAGACCGGCCCUCGAUACUGGAGCUCAGUGCAGGACUGGGGAGAGGAGGUUGAGGAAGGAGCCAUAUACAACGUGACGCUGAAGAGGGUCCAAAUUCAGCAGGCCGCUAACAAAGGAGCAAGAUGGCUGGGGGCGGAGGGUGACCGUUUGCCCCCGGGUCACACGGUCAGUCAGUUGGAGACGUGUAAAAUCAGAAGCAUUCGAGCAGGGACUCUUGAACGCCUGGUAGAAACGCUCCUUACAGCAUUCGGUGACAAUGACCUUACCUACACCAGCAUCUUCCUCUCCACGUACAGGGCCUUUGCCUCAACGCAGAGCGUCCUGGAGUUGCUGCUGGACAGGUAUGGCAGUUUUGAGGAUUGUGAAGGAGAGCGUAGCCAAUGUCAGACUGGAGAGAGCAGAAAAGCUGUUAGAAAAGCUUUGGCCUCUAUUCUGAGAGCCUGGCUGGAUCAGUGUCCAGAGGACUUCCAGGAACCUCCGUCAUAUCCGAGCUUGCAUCGUGUGCUGGGUUUCCUGCAGAAGGCCAUGCCAGGCUCAGAGCCAAUGCGCCGCGCUCAGAGUCUGCUAGAACAAUUGCGUGUCCAGGCCAGCCUAGAGAACGAGACUGAAGGAGGCUUUCAGUACAUCAACCCGUUUUGCCUUGGGGAGGAUGAGGAAGUGGAGAUUGACUUGCAGGAGGACUUCUUCUCCUUCGAGGUUGACCUCGUAGCAGAGCAGCUGACCUAUAUGGAUGCGCUGUUAUUUAAGAAGGUGGUUCCUCAUCACUGUUUGGGCUCGAUUUGGUCUCAGCGUGAUAAAAAGGAUGGCAAACAGAGUGCACCAACCAUCCGUGCCACCAUCACGCAGUUUAACGCGGUAACGGCGUGUGUGGUCAGCACUAUCCUCCGUCAGCGGCAGAUACGCCCGCAUUUGCGUGCUCGCAUCAUACAGCGCUGGAUCGACAUCGCACAGGAGUGUCGCAUUCGGAAGAACUUCUCGUCUCUAAGAGCCAUCGUGUCUGCUCUGCAGUCCAACCCCCUCUACAGACUAAAGAGGACAUGGGCAUCUGUUGCUAAAGACAGCAUGCAGAUGUUUGAAGAGCUUUCUGACAUUUUCUCCGACCAAAAUAAUUACCUUACAAGCCGGGAGCUGCUAAUGAGGGAGGGCACUUCAAAGUUUGCCAGUCUGGACAGCUGUGCCAAAGACCACCAAAAAAGGUCACAAAAGAGACUUCAGUUACAAAAAGAUAUGGGUGCCAUGCAGGGGACUAUCCCAUACCUGGGUACAUUUCUCACAGAUCUGACCAUGCUUGACACAGCCCUGCCUGACCAAGUGGAGGGAGGACUGAUUAAUUUCGAGAAGCGGCGCAGGGAGUUUGAAGUGAUCGCUCAGAUUAAGCUCCUGCAGUCUGCUUGCAACAGUUACUGUCUGACCCCUGACCCUGCAUUUUUGCGCUGGUUUAAAAGUCAGCCGCAGUACUCAGAGGAGGAGAGCUAUGUGCUGUCAUGUGAAGUCGAAGGACUGGGAGACAACAGCCCGACUUCACCAAAACCCAGAAAAAGCAUGGUGAAGAGACUGAGCCUACUCUUCUUAGGUAAUGACAGCACAAACACCAGCUCUCCUGUGAGAGAAAGUCCUCGAUCGCCUCCUACUGGCAGCUCUGGGGAGAGCAUGGACUCGGUCAGCGUGUCCUCCAGUGACUCCAGUCCCUCAGAGAGUGACGGCAUGACACCGACACACUCUAUAGACGCUCACUUGAAGAAGCUGUCCGAGUCUUCCUCCUGCAACUCAUUGCACUCCAUGGACACCUCGUCUUCUACAGCAAGCGCCUCCAUUUCUCUGGCGUCCCCGACUUUACCCGGGCCACCCUGCAACCACCGGCGCUCCAUCUCACUGACGCCCUUGAUGAGCCCCACCUCACCCGGGUUUCCACCCGCCUAUAACACGCAAGCUCAAGAUGCCUGCAUCAUCCGAGUGAGCCUCGAACAGGGGAAUGGCAACCUCUACAAGAGCAUCAUGCUGACCAGUCAGGACAAAACUCCAGCGGUGAUCUCUCGAGCCAUGACCAAACACAACCUGGAGGGCGAGCAGGCGGCUGACUAUGAGCUGGUGCAGGUCAUCUCAGAGGAGAGAGAGCUGGUUAUCCCCGACAACGCUAAUGUGUUUUACGCCAUGAGCACAUCGGCGAACUUCGACUUCCUGCUGCGUCUACGAGGCUCCGAGGGAAGGCCGGUUCAGCUCCGCAGCCGCUGCAGCUCCACACUCCCGUGCACACAGCAGCGCUCCAGUCUGUCCCUCAGACUCAGCAAGGUCACCCUGUGACGAAAAGACUGGAGGAGUGCUGAAAAGUGGGCUCAGUAGACAAUUGCUCGGGGAGCAUCUCCAGUUCUUCCAUUUCUGCCUUUUGAAACAAAAAGGGCACUUUCAGAAUAAUAGCAUGUGCCUCCACCUCCCCAUCUGGCCCUAUUUUAUCCCAUCCUCCCUAUUGCUGGAUAUUUUGCACACAUGCAGGAAAGUCUCCUGCUCCUCGUCAGUAUUUGCAUAAGAGCACAUCUCUUCCCAGGCAUGAGGCCUAUUUGACCUCCUCUAAUAAGUGAGAGGGGAAUGAAUUAAGCUUUGGGAAGAGAACUCAAAUGACAGCCAUGUUGCCUUUAUGGAUGGUAACGGUGGAACUCUUGCGUCAGUAUUGAAGAUGAUCUGCAGUAGCUAUGAUGUCAUCGUCGUCAUUGUCAUCAAUGUGUCUUUCGCCCGUCCCCUUGUGCACUGUGUGGACAAUGUGGACUCAAUCUAUAGAUUAUAGGGAUAGAUCAGCCAAAAAUGGCUUUUUGUCUUAAAUUGUUCCCCCUCCACUGGUUCUUAACUUGUUUGACUUCCUUCUGUUGAACACAGAAGAAGAUAUUUUGAAGCAUGUUGGAAACCGGUAGCCAUUGGCUUCCAUUUUUUUCCAUACCUUAGAUCUCAAUAGCUACCAUUUUCCAACUAAUUUCCAAAAGGUUUUCAAAACACUAUUGGGUGAGAAAAUAGUAAGUAAAUUUUCAUUUUUGGGUGAACUAUCCCCUAAAAUGCUUAGACUGGCUCACUAAGAACUCCUAUUUUGAGGCCAAACUUGAGAAUAAAUAAAUAGUUUGUGCUAGAUAUUAUAAUUAAUAGAUAUAUACGUUUAAAAAAGUCUUAAACCUCAUGUCUGCCUAUAUUCUCUCUGCCUAAUCUAAGCAUUUUAUUUCUAUUUCUGUAUUUCUCAUAUUGUGAGCUGCAUGACGAAUGCCUUAAAUGCGUUCUGAUUGGUUCCUGCUUGGUUUUAUCAAGUCUGUGGUGUUUGUUUGUUUUCACUGUUUUCAGGGUGUGUCUUUAAGGUGUGGUUACAAGCACCGAUAGGAUGGGUUUCUGUUCAGAAACCUGGAUUGAGUCGCCUUCCUCACUGAUACAGUGGCACUUCCUGUGGAGUGGACAGAUUGUGCGUGUGUGUGUGUGUGUGUGUGAGUGUGUAUGCUAGAUGGAGCGCUUGGUCCACUUUUUUUGUAGCUUUCCUGUCUUUUUUUCUUCAGGCAGUGCUAUAUUAAUGGUAUACUUUUCUUUUAUAUAUAUGAAUGCGUGUAUGUUUUUUGUAAGAGAUGAAGAAUUAUCCAUGAUUUCUAUGAAAAAAAGGAAGUUUUAAAGAGAUUUUGUUAACUAAAAAAAGAAAAAAUGUAAAAAGCUGUGAAAUAUGAGUGUGUGUGAUUGUAAAGUGAGCAUUAAAACAAGUCAGAUAUUUCCAUUAACCAGCAGAAAUAUUCAAUUGUACCCCUGUUGCCAACAUUUUCCAGAGCCUUUAAUACCUUUAAGACUUUGUACACCUGGUGAAUAUCAGUUCACAAAUGCAUGUUUUACACUGUGGCGUAUUAACAUCAAAAGGUUUCAGAGUUUCAAAAGGCUUUUUUUUGUUCUUAAUCCUGUUUGUUCUCUACAUAAUUCUCAUGAGCCUGGUAUGUAACACAUUUUCUCUGACUCCUGUUGAUAUGUUAACAGAUGUGCCAAACUUGCCCCCUUUGCCUUUUUGUUCACUCACUAUAAUUGAAAGACCCUUAUUUUUGUUACAUUGUACAUGUAGGACUUCGAUGACACUAACAGAUUCAACGUGGUAAAAUGUAGUGUUUUAACAGUAGCGGGGCAGCAGUAUUUGUUUGUGUUUUGAUUCAUUUGUCUUGAUUUCAGAUUUUUUUCAGCACUUGUGAAUUUCUCCUCAGUUCUUUAUUUUGAAUAUUUCUUCACUACCAAAGAGUUAUCUACGGCGAGUCAGUGAAUAAAUUAUUAUCAUUAUGAUGUUUUGUAAUUUGAAUAUUAAUUUUCAUGAAUUAAAUGAAGACUCUGAAAUGUA